This 497-nucleotide ribosomal RNA is filed under the name uncultured bacterium. Its description in RNAcentral is "partial 16S ribosomal RNA". It matches the Rfam family "Bacterial small subunit ribosomal RNA", at positions 28 to 507 of the family's 1533-position model. The record is from RNAcentral.
GACGAACGCUGGCGGCGUGCCUAAUACAUGCAAGUAGAACGCUGAAGCGAGGAGCUUGCUCUUCUUGGAUGAGUUGCGAACGGGUGAGUAACGCGUAGGUAACCUGCCUUGUAGCGGGGGAUAACUAUUGGAAACGAUAGCUAAUACCGCAUAACAAUGGAUGACACAUGUCAUUUAUUUGAAAGGGGCAAUUGCUCCACUACAAGAUGGACCUGCGUUGUAUUAGCUAGUAGGUGAGGUAAUGGCUCACCUAGGCGACGAUACAUAGCCGACCUGAGAGGGUGAUCGGCCACACUGGGAAUGAGACACGGCCCAGACUCCUACGGGAGGCAGCAGUAGGGAAUCUUCGGCAAUGGGGGCAACCCUGACCGAGCAACGCCGCGUGAGUGAAGAAGGGUUUCGGAUCGUAAAGCUCUGUUGUAAGUCAAGAACGGGUGUGAGAGUGGAAAGUUCACACUGUGACGGUAGCUUACCAGAAAGAGACGGCUAACUACGUG